UAGUCCACGCCGUAAACGAUGAGAACUAGGCGUAGGGGGGACUGAUAUCCUCUGUGCCGCAGUUAACGCGAUAAGUUCUCCGCCUGGGAAGUACGGUCGCAAGAUUAAAACUCAAAGGAAUUGACGGGGGCCCGCACAAGCGGUGGAGUAUGUGGUUUAAUUCGAUGAUACGCGAGCAACCUUACCCAAACUUGACAUCCCUCUGCAAGCUCUUGUAAUGAGAGCCCUCCUUAGGGACAGGGGUGACAGGUGGUGCAUGGUUGUCGUCAGCUCGUGUCGUGAGAUGUUGGGUUAAGUCCCGCAACGAGCGCAACCCUUGUGAUUAUUUGCCAGCAUUUCGGAUGGGGACUAUAAUCAGACUGCCGGCGACAAGCCGGAGGAAGGUGGGGAUGACGUCAAAUCAGCACGCCCUUUAUGUUUGGGGCUACACACGUACUACAAUGGUCGGUACAGCGAGUCGCGACACUGUGAGGUGGAGCUAAUCUCUUAAAACCGGCUUAGUCGGAUUGCG
RNAcentral lists this ribosomal RNA (511 nucleotides) under uncultured bacterium. RNAcentral describes it as "bacterial SSU rRNA". It matches the Rfam family "Bacterial small subunit ribosomal RNA", at positions 791 to 1302 of the family's 1533-position model. The record is from RNAcentral.